Molecule: ribosomal RNA, 1218 nt
Filed under: Triticum aestivum (bread wheat)
Lineage: Eukaryota; Viridiplantae; Streptophyta; Magnoliopsida; Poales; Poaceae
Description: partial small subunit ribosomal RNA
Source: RNAcentral
AUGAGCCAUACAAUGAAGCUAUGGGAGAGAGUCAUUGAGCACCGCUUAAGAAGAAUGACAAGCGUGACCAAAAAUCAGUUUGGUUUCAUGCAUGGGAGGUCGACCAUGGAAGCCAUUUUCUUGGUACGACAACUUAUGGAGAGAUAUAGGGAGCAUAAGAAGGACUUGCAUAUGGUGUUCAUUGACUUGGAGAAGGCCUAUGAUAAGAUACCGCGGAAUGUCAUGUGGUGGGCCUUGGAGAAACACAAAGUCCCAGCAAAGUACAUUACCCUCAUCAAGGACAUGUACAAUAAUGUUGUGACAAGUGUUCGAACAAGUGAUGUCGACACCGAUGACUUCCCGAUUAAGAUAGGACUGCAUCAGGGGUCAGCUUUGAGCCCUUAUCUUUUUGCAUUGGUGAUGGAUGAGGUCACAAGGGGUAUACAAGGAGAUAUCCCAUGGUGUAUGCUCUUUGCGGAUGAUGUGGUGCUAGUUGAUGAUAGUCGGACGGGGGUAAAUAGGAAGUUAGAGUUAUGGAGACAAACCUUGGAAUCGAAAGGGUUUAGGCUUAGUAGAACUAAAACCGAGUACAUGAUGUGUGGUUUCAGUACUACUAGCUGUGAGGAGGAGGAGGUUAGCCUUGAUGGCCAGGUGGUACCUCGGAAGGACACCUUUCGGUAUUUGGGGUCAAUGUUGCAGGAGGAUGGGGGUAUUGAUGAAGAUGUGAACCAUCGAAUCAAAGCCGGAUGGAUGAAGUGGCGCCAAGCUUCUGGCAUUCUCUGUGACAAGAGAGUGCCACAAAAGCUAAAAGGCAAGUUCUACAGGACGGCGGUUCGACCCGCAAUGUUGUAUGGCGCGGAGUGUUGGCCGACUAAAAGGCGACAUGUUCAACAGUUAGGUGUGGCGGAGAUGCGUAUGUUGAGAUGGAUGUGUGGCCACACGAGGAAGGAUCGGGUCCGGAAUGAUGAUAUACGAGAUAGAGUUGGGGUAGCACCAAUUGAGGAGAAGCUUGUCCAACAUCGUUUGAGAUGGUUUGGGCAUAUUCAGCGCAGGCCUCCAGAAGCUCCAGUGCAUAGCGGACGGCUAAAGCGUGCGGAGAAUGUCAAGAGAGGGCGGGGUCGACCGAUUUUGACAUGGGAGGAGUCCGUUAAGAGAGACCUGAAGGAUUGGAAUAUCGACAAAGAGCUAGCUAUGGACAGGGGUGCGUGGAAGCUUGCUAUCCAUGUGCCAGAGCCAUGA